Alosa alosa (allis shad) is the source of this 770-nucleotide long non-coding RNA. RefSeq lists it as uncharacterized. The record is from RefSeq and is a predicted model, not a curated record. The transcript is spliced from 6 exons. Lineage: Eukaryota; Metazoa; Chordata; Actinopteri; Clupeiformes; Clupeidae.
ACCAUAUUGUAUGGGUAUCAUACUCUGUCCUCGCUACAUAACAACAUGAAGACCACCUGAACAUAUGGAUGCAUUGGAGCAUGGACCUAAAGAAGAGCGAGCUCUUCUAAGAGAACGGUGAGUGCGUGAUAUAGAAUUGUAUAGAAUCUACCGUUAUCUUCAACCGUUAGCCUUCUAGCUGUUACGUUACCCCAGCCAGCCAGUCCAAGAUGUAUUCAAUUGUUGUUUUCACGGAAAAAAAUGAGACAGAGGUUAUACCAAGUGACUGGCUGAGCAUCGAUAAAAAAAUUUCCUUUUGGCCCCCAUAUAAUACUACUAAAUGUAGAAAAGCGGUUGAAAAAAAUGAAACCCCUGAUGAAGAAUGGGAAGAAUAUAUAACUGAAUGGGUGGCUGAGUAUGAUUCCUAUGAAAAAGCCCGAAGGAAGCUCGUGAAGUUCUGCAAAGGCAAUGGUUUGGAGUCGACAGACGAGGACAGUGUGCGGAAAAGAGUACCAUCAUCGAAAUAUGUUGGAUUUAGGUCUACAUCAGCCCCUCCAUCUGCAGCCUCAGGAAGACCUCCAGUUCAGGCCUCAACAAGUAGGCUCCACACAGAGACAAUGGAAAGACCAAAAAGAAAUUCUGCAAUAAUGGAGCCAAAAGCCAGACCUUGCCAGCCAUACCACCAUUUCCAUCAUCAACACCAGAGACAGUCCCAGAUCUAAGACAAGAUGAAAGAGAACUCCGACUCUUUCAGAUGCUAGAGGAGAUAAAAGGCCAAGUCAGACAAAAUU